This 85-nucleotide transfer RNA is filed under the name Nitrososphaerota archaeon. Its description in RNAcentral is "tRNA-Leu". It matches the Rfam family "tRNA". Rfam says of the family: Transfer RNA (tRNA) molecules are approximately 80 nucleotides in length. Their secondary structure includes four short double-helical elements and three loops (D, anti-codon, and T loops). RNAcentral also lists the same sequence under 2 other names. Lineage: Archaea; Thermoproteati; Nitrososphaerota. The record is from RNAcentral.
GCGGGGGUAGCCAAGUCUGGCCAAAGGCGACGGGCUUAAGACCCGUUCCCGUAGGGGUUCGUGGGUUCGAAUCCCACCCCCCGCA